This 72-nucleotide transfer RNA is filed under the name Pristionchus pacificus. It matches the Rfam family "tRNA". From Rfam's summary of the family: Transfer RNA (tRNA) molecules are approximately 80 nucleotides in length. The record is from Rfam by way of RNAcentral. Lineage: Eukaryota; Metazoa; Nematoda; Chromadorea; Rhabditida; Neodiplogasteridae.
GGGGGCAUAGCUCAGUGGUUAGAGCACCCGCAUACGUAUCGGAAGGUCGGGGGUUCGACUCCUCUGCCUCCA